CCUACGGGAGGCAGCAGUGAGGAAUAUUGGUCAAUGGGCGGGAGCCUGAACCAGCCAAGUCGCGUGAGGGAAGACGGUCCUAUGGAUUGUAAACCUCUUUAGGCGGGGAGCAAUGCCGGGCACGCGUGCCCGGAGGGAGAGUACCCGCAGAAUAAGCAUCGGCUAACUCCGUGCCAGCAGCCGCGGUACUACGGAGGAUGCGAGCGUUAUCCGGAUGUAUUGGGUGUAAAGGGUGCGUAGGCGGAUUUUUAAGUCAGCGGUAAAAUGUCCGGGCUCAACCCGGGCCGGCCGUUGAAACUGGGGAUCUUGAGUGGGCGAGAAGUAGGCGGAAUGCGUGGUGUAGCGGUGAAAUGCAUAGAUAUCACGCAGAACUCCGAUUGCGAAGGCAGCAUACCGGCGCCCGACUGACGCUGAGGCACGAAAGCGUGGGGAUCGAACAGGAUUAGAUACCCCAGUAGUC
This 460-nucleotide ribosomal RNA is filed under the name uncultured bacterium. RNAcentral's name for it is "partial 16S ribosomal RNA". It matches the Rfam family "Bacterial small subunit ribosomal RNA", at positions 338 to 795 of the family's 1533-position model. The record is from RNAcentral.